Long non-coding RNA from Pteropus alecto (black flying fox), 852 nucleotides. RefSeq lists it as uncharacterized. The transcript is spliced from 3 exons. The record is from RefSeq and is a predicted model, not a curated record. NCBI's taxonomy places the organism in Eukaryota, Metazoa, Chordata, Mammalia, Chiroptera, Pteropodidae.
GCGGACCCCACAAUCCCUGGACCACCUUAGAGCGACUCCAUCACCAUCUUCCUUAGGGACUCAGGAGUCCGGACUCCCGCCCCCUGCUUCCUGGAGCCGGGUAGACUUGGCUCCUACCCCAAUAUGAGGAAACUAAAGCCUGGAGAAGUGAAGAAGAUCUUUAUCCUGGGUUUCACAAGAUGUGGCUCAACUCCAACAUGGUGUUCUAAUCCAAGAAGCCAAGAAGGCCCUGCCCCAGACAUCUGUUUGCUUCUGCUCCUGAGAAUCCCAUUGCUAUGCUGCUGUGAAGACACGCAAGCAUCCCCAUGGAGAGAUCCACUUGGGGAGAAACUGAGGCCUCCUGCCCACUUCCAGCACCGGCUUGCUGGCCAUGCGAAUGAGCCACCUUGGAGGCAGACUCUCAAGCCCCGGGCAAACCUGCAGAUGACUGCCGCCCAGGCUGACAGCUCGAAUGCACCCUCAUGAGACCCUGAGCCGAAACCACCCAGCUAAGCUGCUCCCAGAGUCGUGACUCUCAGAAACUGUGUGAGGUAAUAAAUGUCAAUCAUUGUUUUAAGCCGUUCAGUUCUGGGGUCAUUUCUUUCACAAUGAUAGUUAGCACACCCCUGAACCUAACUGUCCUCUAACGGCUAAACUCCUCAAGCUAACUGUUCCCUCAUCGGCUAAGCCCUGAAUCUAACUCUCCCCCGAUUCCAGCAACCAAAUACCUUUAAUUUAAUCCUGACCUCUUAAAACGUUAAUGUUCAUUCGUUCAUUCGUUCGUUCGUUCGUUCAUUCAUUCUUCUUGCAACUAAUACUUAAAACCCUGGCACACACAUAAUUAUAUUAAGAUCUUGGGCUGCGGAAAGGGGG